UGUUGUUUCCCUUCUGCCACACACCUGGAUUGAAUCUGUGGUGAUCAACAGGUUUCUGCAGCAUUGAUGGUGAUGUAAUGAUUAGAAUCAGCUGCUCUGGAGUAGAGACAUCUAAACCAUGCAGAGCAGGAGGCCUGAGGACUGGAACUGAGAAGGACUGGUAACCUGUUCUGACUGAACAUCUGAUCCAUAGACCAGUCUUCCUCAAACUGGUGGGCCACUGCUGGUCCGUGGCCGCCCCCUACUGGUCCGCCAGGUACUGCAUUAAACGACCGUUUAUUUUCCGUGACGUCAGCUCAUAGUGCAAAGCUACAGCUAGCUUAGCAAGGGAUUGGGGAAAUAAUGAUGGAUAACUGGCUUAAAACCAGGUCACUCAAAAGAAAAGCUACAGAUACCGGUGGAAAGGAGCUGGAAAGAGUUUUACCUGACCAGAGGAGGCUGAAGCUGCUGUGGUUCACUAGCGAAUGGAUUCCUUUGAACGGCUCUAUGCGGGCAACUUAUUGCUGCAGAUCCACCAAUCAGUUGAUCAACUUCCCAUCAGAGACCAGCUGGCUGGUUUCCUGCUGACAUUGAUCAUGAUAUCUGAAGUUCUGCUGAGAUUCCAAUAAAAUCACAAAGAACUGUU
Gambusia affinis (western mosquitofish) is the source of this 625-nucleotide long non-coding RNA. RefSeq lists it as uncharacterized. The record is from RefSeq and is a predicted model, not a curated record. The transcript is spliced from 2 exons. Lineage: Eukaryota; Metazoa; Chordata; Actinopteri; Cyprinodontiformes; Poeciliidae.